CUGAUGCAGCACGCCGCGUGAGUGAAGAAGGUUUUCGGAUCGUAAAGCUCUGUCAUCCGGGACGAUAAUGACGGUACCGGAAGAGGAAGCCACGGCUAACUACGUGCCAGCAGCCGCGGUAAUACA
RNAcentral lists this ribosomal RNA (126 nucleotides) under uncultured Clostridium sp. RNAcentral's name for it is "partial 16S ribosomal RNA". It matches the Rfam family "Bacterial small subunit ribosomal RNA", at positions 383 to 527 of the family's 1533-position model. The record is from RNAcentral. Lineage: Bacteria; Bacillati; Bacillota; Clostridia; Eubacteriales; Clostridiaceae.